AAACUUACCAGGUCAAGACAUGGGCGUGAUUGACAGGCUAAUGACUUUUCUCGAUUCCAUGGAUGGUGGUGCAUGGUCGCACUUAGUUGGUGCAGUGAUUUGUCAGGUUUAUUCCGGUAACGAACGAGACCUCGGCCUUGUAAAUAGCUAUGCUGCUUACAGGGACAUUGGCGGCUACGCCAAGGAAGCUCGAGGCAAUUGCAGAUCUGGAAUACCCUUAGAUGUCCUGGGUCGCACGCGUGCUACAAUGACGCCACGAACGAGCUUGCGUGAUGAAAGUUACGCAUAAUCAGCAGUCGGCGUCUUAAGGGAUAGUCUCUUGUAACUGUGGGACUCCAACUAGGAAUGUCUCGUAAGCACAAGUCAACAUCUUGUGUUGAUUACGUCCCUGCUCUUUGUACACACCGCCCGUCGCUCCUACCGAUCGAGUGUUUAGGUGAAUUUGAUGGACGUAAGGAAGUCAAAUAAACCUGAGCACUAGAGAAGAGAAGUCGACAUCC
Molecule: ribosomal RNA, 500 nt
Filed under: uncultured Myrionecta
Lineage: Eukaryota; Ciliophora; Litostomatea; Cyclotrichida; Mesodiniidae
Description: bacterial SSU rRNA
Rfam family: Eukaryotic small subunit ribosomal RNA
Source: RNAcentral